UACAGAGGGUGCGAGCGUUAAUCGGAUUUACUGGGCGUAAAGCGUGCGUAGGCGGCUUUUUAAGUCGGAUGUGAAAUCCCCGAGCUUAACUUGGGAAUUGCAUUCGAUACUGCCUAGCUAGAGUGUGGGAGAGGGUGGUGGAAUUCCCGGUGUAGCGGUGAAAUGCGUAGAUAUCGGGAGGAACAUCAGUGGCGAAGGCGGCUCACUGGCUCGAUACUGACGCUGAGGUGCGAAAGCGUGGGGAGCAAACAGG
This 253-nucleotide unclassified non-coding RNA is filed under the name uncultured Gammaproteobacteria bacterium. RNAcentral's name for it is "contains 16S-23S intergenic spacer region". It matches the Rfam family "Bacterial small subunit ribosomal RNA", at positions 524 to 776 of the family's 1533-position model. The record is from RNAcentral. Lineage: Bacteria; Pseudomonadati; Pseudomonadota; Gammaproteobacteria.